AAGUAAGAAGCGAUAAAAAUUGCAAUCAGUUUCGACCUGAUCUUAGAUAAUCAUUUAUCCUUACUUU
RNAcentral lists this transfer RNA (67 nucleotides) under Etrocorema hochii. RNAcentral's name for it is "tRNA-Arg". The record is from RNAcentral. Lineage: Eukaryota; Metazoa; Arthropoda; Insecta; Plecoptera; Perlidae.